AGCUCCAAUAGCAUAUAUUAAAGUUGUUGCGGUUAAAAAGCUCGUAGUUGGAUUUCUGCCAAGGGCAACCGGUCUGCCCACUGGGUAUGUAUCUGGCUUGGCUUGGGCAUCUUCGUGGGGAGUGUGGCUGCACUUGGCUGUGUGGUGCAAGACCCAUGACAUUUACUUUGAGGAAAUUAGAGUGUUUCAAGCAAGCUUGCGCCUUGAAUACAUGAGCAUGGAAUAAUUGUUCAAGGCCUUGGCUCUUUUUGUUGGUUUCUAGGGCAAGGGCUAAAAUUAAGAGGGAUAGUUGGGGGCACUUGUAUUUAACUGUCAGAGGUGAAAAUCUUGGAUUCGUUAAAGACAAACCCAUGCAAAAGCAUUUGCCAAGGAUGUUUUCA
RNAcentral lists this ribosomal RNA (380 nucleotides) under uncultured eukaryote. RNAcentral's name for it is "SSU rRNA". It matches the Rfam family "Eukaryotic small subunit ribosomal RNA", at positions 587 to 972 of the family's 1831-position model. The record is from RNAcentral.